GGGAGUUUAGCUCAGUGGUAGAGCUCCGCACUGAAGCUGCGACGGUCCGGGGUUCGAUCCCCCGAAGUCCCA
RNAcentral lists this transfer RNA (72 nucleotides) under Ecytonucleospora hepatopenaei. RNAcentral describes it as "Enterocytozoon sp. ST-2009a tRNA". It matches the Rfam family "tRNA". Rfam says of the family: Transfer RNA (tRNA) molecules are approximately 80 nucleotides in length. Their secondary structure includes four short double-helical elements and three loops (D, anti-codon, and T loops). Further hydrogen bonds mediate the characteristic L-shaped molecular structure. tRNAs have two regions of fundamental functional importance: the anti-codon, which is responsible for specific mRNA codon recognition, and the 3' end, to which the tRNAs corresponding amino acid is attached (by aminoacyl-tRNA synthetases). tRNAs cope with the degeneracy of the genetic code in two manners: having more than one tRNA (with a specific anti-codon) for a particular amino acid; and 'wobble' base-pairing, i.e. permitting non-standard base-pairing at the 3rd anti-codon position. Lineage: Eukaryota; Fungi; Microsporidia; Enterocytozoonidae. The record is from Rfam by way of RNAcentral.